AACGCGAAGAACCUUACCAGGUCUUGACAUCCUCUGACAACUCUAGAGAUAGAGCGUUCCCCUUCGGGGGACAGAGUGACAGGUGGUGCAUGGUUGUCGUCAGCUCGUGUCGUGAGAUGUUGGGUUAAGUCCCGCAACGAGCGCAACCCUUGAUCUUAGUUGCCAGCAUUUAGUUGGGCACUCUAAGGUGACUGCCGGUGACAAACCGGAGGAAGGUGGGGAUGACGUCAAAUCAUCAUGCCCCUUAUGACCUGGGCUACACACGUGCUACAAUGGAUGGUACAAAGGGCUGCAAGACCGCGAGGUCAAGCCAAUCCCAUAAAACCAUUCUCAGUUCGGAUUGUAGGCUGCAACUCGCCUACAUGAAGCUGGAAUCGCUAGUAAUCGCGGAUCAGCAUGCCGCGGUGAAUACGUUCCCGGGCCUUGUACACACCG
Molecule: ribosomal RNA, 435 nt
Filed under: Priestia aryabhattai
Lineage: Bacteria; Bacillati; Bacillota; Bacilli; Caryophanales; Bacillaceae
Also listed under: 5 other names
Description: partial 16S ribosomal RNA
Rfam family: Bacterial small subunit ribosomal RNA
Source: RNAcentral